Long non-coding RNA from Fundulus heteroclitus (mummichog), 305 nucleotides. RefSeq lists it as uncharacterized. Lineage: Eukaryota; Metazoa; Chordata; Actinopteri; Cyprinodontiformes; Fundulidae. The record is from RefSeq and is a predicted model, not a curated record. The transcript is spliced from 3 exons.
GGUGAGCGAGAGAGAUGGGACACGAGGACGAGACUGCUGAGCUGUGCAGCGUCAGAGUCUGUGUUAAGACUAUUAUAGUAUUACACACGAAUGAAAAGACGAAGCUUUUUGCAAUUGAAAUUGCUGUUUAUUAUCCAAGUUCUAAUCUGGAAUUAGUUGAGCUGAAGUGUCCCACCUGUCUGGACUCGGGGCCAUCAUAUUGUUGUCCCAAACUGAUGCAUUGAGAUCGGUCAGGUUUUUUUUGUUACGCUGGAUCGUUCCUGAGGUGGAUUCCUCAAGAGACUGAUGGCGAGCCUUCCCACCUG